UCAUCCUUCUUCUUGUGAUGAAGGGAGGUGAUAAAAUGCCUACAUGAUGACAUGAAGUGAGGUGAGUGACGGAGGCAUUGUGAUGUAAUAUUGGGUCACUACUAACCUCACAACAGGCCAGAAGGAGGACCCUCUACUUCUGGGCCAGGGCUGACCACAGCCUGCAAUCCCAUGAAGAUCAAAGCCAGUUUGCUAUUCUGCAUUAACAUUUCUGUGAUCAGAUAUAACGUGAGCACCUCGAUUCUAUCUGUGUCAAGAUAUCUUCACACAAGUGACUCAUCUGGUAAGAGCUCGGGCACUGAACACUGCUCUGACAACCAUCUCCUUUGAGGUUGAUUCCACGUUGGUGGUGUUACAAGCCAACGUCCUGUUCAGCUGCUUUCCUCUGCAACACAACACUGUAAUUAAAACUGACUAAACAAUAAAUCUCAAUUUCCCUGUUCUAUCAGGAGAAUCUUCCAAUUUACUAGGCUUCGUCUAUUUGCCAGCUCCUCCUCUGCAUUACGAAUCGUUCUUGAACAAGCACACAAGUUAACUACCCACUCUUGCGUUGAACGUGCAGAGAUUCAGUGCCAAUUCUGUCAUUAGACAGCCUAGAUCUGCUCCUUGGGGACCUGAGAGGAAACUGGGUGUUAUGCCUGAGUUAAAUAUGUGAAGAGGCUAUCCCCCUCCUCACGCAGGCCCUGUCAGCUCCAGAAAGCACAAACUCAACGGGCUGCCCUUGCAAGGAACAGGCAUCUCUUUGUCCUCCUAAAUACCUCUUGCCGUGACCAAGUUCCAGUUUCCAGAACCCGAAACACCUUUGCCCAAUGAAAACCUUCCUGAACUUUUUACCCAACAACUCACAGACCAUGAAUGGCAUUCCCUCAGGCUCCAAGACAAUCAAGUUAGGGAGACGAUGUAGAAAAAGAACGUGGUAAAAAGAGAUCCAACAAGCUCCCUGAGGCUCAAAAGAAGACACUUUGCCAAAAGAUACACGGACACCAACUAAGGUUUAACGAACUGCUUUCCCUGAUAUCUCAUUUAAUACACCACCUCAUGAAUUGGGCAGCACAGCUACCUCUGCCUCUCUUCUAGAAAUACGGGAUGCUCGUUCAGACAACUUUCUCGCCACAAUCUACUGUGCCUCACCACUCCUAACCGACAGUCUUACCAGUCAGCUUGCCAGUAACUUGAAGCCUGCAAGUGUAACGGGCCAGCAAUUUGUGCUUUUCAAAGAUUCCAACUGCCAAAAAUAAAUGAGAGCUUAGGACACAGCCACCAUGCUUAAUACCCCAAGACUUGUUUUGUUUGUUUUAUUUUUCAAAGGCUGUGGCUUUGCUGGCUCCUGCUUUAUAUGAUUUCUUAUUAUGCUCUAUGUUGAAUUAUACUUUUAAAUUUUUGGACAAAUCACUGUAACACAGAAGUCUUGUUCAAUUUAACAAGCUGUGGAGAGUGGCAAAUGGGGGCAGGAGGGUUCUCUUGAUGCCAACAAAAUAAGACUGACUUUGAAGUAUCUUGGUCACAUUAACAGCAAAGAGCAUCCUUUUUCUCUUACCAUAAAAGUACCUUGUGAAAAUACUACAGCAUCUGAGACACACACAAAGUUCAGGAAAGCCUCGUGACCAAUGUACUCACUGCUGGUGUAAAUAUAGUGACAGAGAUCACCAACACUACCUUUCCCAACAGUAGACCUUAACAUUUGGUACCGUAUUGGAACGCACACCAAUCCUGAGCCUUCACAUGUCCAUCAACUUCCAAGGUGGGAAUGAUCAACUGGUGAAGGAAAAGAACUGGAAUGGUCAUUAUAAGCCCUAUUUUCUAAAUAUUAGCUCUGCCACUAUGUCUCGGUUGUUCUCAUUUCUACUAAGGACAAUACAUAUGUGGCAGUGCUCUGGAGAAGACACUUCUGGGUAGCCCUAAACUACUGGUUCUUGCAGUGAGUGGGAAAUGCACACGCCAACUAAGAGCCGUGCCUUGGCUCCGAAUACCCCUGCAGUGAGGUCAUAGCGAAGCCAGUCCAAGUGUUUGCUAGAAUAAACAAGAGGCCACAGAUGCGAUCUGAGAUGGCUUCCCUCCCUGGGCAAACAACUAGGUGAAUGUGUCAAGAGGAGAAGAUGGUGUAAGAGGUAAAGAACAGGAGUAGCCAGACCUCAAAUGUAGAUAAUUUUUGCAUGUGUUCUCACCGACUUCUUUCGGCAUCCAUCUCAACAGAACUUAAGUACGUUUCUAUGAGGUUAUAAACUGCACCGUUUCCCCCAUUUAGGUACCUGCCCCAAAUCACCAGGAAGAGAUAGAGAAUGUGAUAAAGGACUUACACAUUCCGGUUUCUAGUCUGGAUUAUAUCCACCAUAAAAUGUCUCCUCAUUGUCUAGAGAAGUUACUUGACAUGAACUGCAAUGUACAAAAAUUUGAUUUCAUUGUGAAGAAAUCCUUUCUUUUAGGGGGCUAACUCUUUUCUGGGAACUAUUUCAGGGUACCACUGUAUAGCAGACAGAAGCAUGGGCAUUGGAACCAGAGAGCCACAGUUGUAAUCAGCACUGAGUUAUGAGAUAUAUGGCUUUGGGAAAUUUACUUACCCUCCGCAAACCUCAGUUUCCUCAUCUGUUCAACAGGGAUAUAGAGAGUAUCACCUCCCAAGCUUAGACAUUAAAUAAGACAAUGUAUGCAAAACGUUUAGCAGAGAUCCUGACAAAUGGUAAGAACUUAGGCAAUACUAAGACUAUUACGUAGUUACCAGGUGUGCACACGUGUGUAUAUGUAAGCGUGUAAGCAUGUACACAGCAUAUGUGUGUAUAUGUGUACCUGUGUGUCCAUGACUGUAUGCAUGUGUGCAUACGUGCAUGUGUGCAUAUAGGUUUGUACCACCCAUACUGCUGUGUAAGUGGAUGUGGGUCUACUUGUGUGCAUACGAGGUAGUGGAGAGAAGUAGGAAAG
Acinonyx jubatus (cheetah) is the source of this 2916-nucleotide long non-coding RNA. RefSeq lists it as uncharacterized. The record is from RefSeq and is a predicted model, not a curated record. NCBI's taxonomy places the organism in Eukaryota, Metazoa, Chordata, Mammalia, Carnivora, Felidae. The transcript has 3 exons.